Molecule: long non-coding RNA, 810 nt
Organism: Gorilla gorilla gorilla (western lowland gorilla)
Lineage: Eukaryota; Metazoa; Chordata; Mammalia; Primates; Hominidae
Exons: 4
Source: RefSeq, a predicted model, not a curated record
CAGAUUCAUCCCUUAAAAGUUCUACAGAGUUAUUCUCAUUGUGAUGUAUAGAAAGAAUUUUGAAGUACAACUUUGUAUGUCUGGAACCAUUCAGUUAACAAACAUGUACUGAGUAUCUACCAUGUGUCAGGCACUGCGCUAAGCCAUGGAAACACAUUCUGGUCAGGAAUGCCAGAUGGUAAAGAAGAGCUAGUACUCAUGGAGCUAACCAGUAGGAGCUGCCACCACCAGAUGUCACUAACUCCACCCCUCACCAAUAAUCCUCUAAAUGUGUGGAUGGAAACCAUUAACAGCACUGCCUUGGACACUAGUAAAAUUCCUGUAGAGUGUUUUAUAAAGGUACUACUCCACCUCUGUGGUUGAAGAUCAAGGGCUCAAGUACUGAGAAAGGCCACCAAGAAACCCAAGCAGUGUGACUCUUAAUACAAAACAAGAAAUUAAUCUACUGCCAGCUUAAAAUCUUCAAACGUUUGCAUUAGUAAGAAUAAAGAUACACUCAACUAUGUUAUAAAAAAAAGUUAAUUGAAUAUGAUCCACCUGCAAACUAAUAUGAUUGUAUGUACUGUGCACAAUGGCCAUGUGUUUUGCAUAUUGUUGUUUUCAAGGGAACUAUGAUUGCAAUUUUGAUUAAUUGGACUAGUUCUUGAAUUUAGGAUCAAACUGAAAGCUGUAUAAUUUCUUAGGCCCAUUUAAUGUCCUUUAUGUACAUUAUUGGAGGUCUUGAAAAUCAUUUUUAAAAACUGAAAUUAGUUUUUGUCCUAAUCCCCUAGAGAUCGAUGCAGUGAAAUUUAUCAUGCCAUGAUGAUUAAA